This 5404-nucleotide long non-coding RNA is filed under the name Olea europaea subsp. europaea. Lineage: Eukaryota; Viridiplantae; Streptophyta; Magnoliopsida; Lamiales; Oleaceae. The record is from RNAcentral.
ACUCUUUUGUUGGUCCUGAGCUGCCUUGAUUUUAGCUCUUAUUUUAUCAACCGCUCGACUAGUUUCUUCAAUUAUUUCGGGUCCUAGAACUCUUCAUUCACCUACUUCAUCCCAAUAAAGGGAAGCUCUACAUCUUCUGCCAUAAAGGGCUUCGUAAGGUGCCAUCUUUAUCGUAGCUUGGUAGCUAUUAUUAUAGGCAAACUCUACCAGUGGCACGUAGUUUUCCCAAUUGCCCCCUAAAUCAAGGACGCAUGCAUGAAGCAUAUCCUCUAAAGUCUGUAUAGUCCUCUCCGAUUGUCCAUCCGUUUGUGGAUGAAACGCUGUGCUAAAGUUUAACUUGGUUCUCAUAGCCUCUUGCAAACUUUUCCAAAAUUUUGAGAUAAAUCUUGGAUCUCUAUCCGAUACAAUUGAGGCUGGGAUACCAUGCAAACAGAUGACCUCUUUGAUGUAUAAUCGCGCGUAUUGAUCCAUACCAAAAUUCAUUCUUACAGGUAGAAAAUUAGCUGACUUUGUUAACCGACUAUAACCCACAUAGCAUUAUUUCCCUUAGCUGAUUUUGGAAAAUCCAUGACAAAAUUCAUAGUUAUAUGUUCCCAUUUCCAUUGUGGAAUUGUUAAUGGUUCCAAUUUUAUCGGAUGUCCCCGAACGAUAUAAUACUCCGAAAUUUUAUGCUCGUUUAAAUUUUCGUAGGAUAGCGAUUUAACUUUCAAUAUUAUUUUUGACCAUAAGGAAAAGGGGACACCACCUUUGUAGUGGUUAAUGUUAGAGGUAGUUAAUGAAUGCAAGCAUGAAGUGCUAAAUGUUGUGUAUUCAUGAAGUGAUUAUUAGUUAGUCGAAAUUUAAGUCAAGUUUGAAUUUGAAUGAAGUGGAUUAUUUUGUUAGGAUUUCAAUUGACCAAACGAUUAAAUUAUUUUACAAUCUACAAUUUUUGAAUAUGUAAGUUGGAUACAAGUUUAAAUUUGGGAUAUGCUUUGCUAAUAAUGAAAGUUAGAGGGGUUAGAUUAUAUUAGUUGAAAAGAUGAGAGACUUCCUUUGUAAAUUUAGGAUUUAUGGCCACUUAUUACCCUAUAAUCAACCCACUUGUCAUCUAUCAUCACCAUACACUUAGACAAUAGACUAAACAUGUGUAGAAACAAGAAAAAAAGGAGAAAAAUGGAGCUUAUCCAACUGAGGCGGUAGGGGUGAGAAAAAAUAUAUAUAUAUCAAACCAUUAUCCUUAUAUAUAUAUAUAUAUAUAUAUAUAUAUAUAUAUAUAUAUAUAUAUAUAUAUCCAUUGCUAUAGAGAAAAUUCCUUCACUUUGCAAAACAUUUAUACCCUCAAAUAUAGAGCAAAAUCGAAAAUAAGAAAGGAAAGAAAAGGGAAGUAAGCUUAACACUUUCAAUUUAUAUCUCAAUCGAAGAUUCUUCAAGUUUUACAGUAAGAUACUUUCUAUGCUUAAGGGGGUAUGAUUUUCAUGGUAAUAUUUAUGCCUAAGUUAUGCAUGAAAAGCCAUAAUAUGCAUAUGGUGGACAAGUCCACAAAGUUAGAUAUCUAUUUAUGCCUUAGGACAAGUCCGAAGGGCACCGGCAAGCAGGAAUGAGCAAGUAUGUGUGUGAUUGCAUUCUUUUGUGUAGUAUUAUCAUGAUAAAAAAAUUCAAGCAUAGUAUCUUACUGAGUAUUCCUUAUACUCAUAGUAUGUUAUGUUAAAUUUUCAGAUUCAUGAUCGUUGGAUUGAUAGAAGUUAGUUGGCAAAAUCGAUGAUGGAUUAAGGACAAAGAUGUUUUGUACCGAAAGUUUCCUCUUGUAUGUUUUGUUCGAUGACUGUUUUUCCAUCUGUUUUUCUUAUGGUAUUAUGUAAAAAAUAUGUAUAUGACAUGAUUUAAUAUGGUAUUAAUAGUAAAUUUUGUAAUUAUAUCUUUCAUGUUAUGUUAAGAGAUAUUUUUGUAGUUUAUUUUCCUUGCAAGAGAAAGCAGAAACGGGACAGUUUCUGGAGUCAAUUUCAAAAUGAUGUUUCUAACUCUGUAAACAUUCGUUUGAGAUUCUAAAAAUAUUUCUGUGUUUUUCUUUGAGUUUUCUAAAUAUGGCCGCAAGAAUUACUCAAUUUGGAUAUUUGUGGCCUGAGAUAUAAAUUUUUAAACGUCAAGGGGUCAAUCUGAAUUUUCUGUGCAACAUUUCACUAUUUUCAGUAAAACGUCCAUAUCUUAUGAUCUGGGAAAAUUCUCAUAUUUUAACCUAGAAAACUAUUUGAAAUUAUCUUUCUAAUUCUGCAAAUUUCAUAGAAAACGGAGUUGGGAUGAAUUUUAUAAAAAUAGUCAAACUUGCUGCCCAAACUAAUCUUGACAGUGCCGAGAUCGUGUAUGUAAAGCAUAAUUCCUUGUUGACAUGUACUUUUAUCGGCCAUCAAAUUUUAUAAGAAUUGAUUUUAUCAAAUUGAAAAUAAGUUUUUAACAUGAAAUACUCCUAUUUAAGAGUAUUUACAUGUACUAAAGGCAGAAGUUAUUAUGUUUAGUACUUGACCCUUGAAGCUUAAGUUUGGGGCGUCACAAGGCGGUGCGUGGACCACACGCGGCGGCAGAUGCACGGCUGAAGCGGCGCAUGUGGGAGGCAGGACACCGGCAGGGGUCGCCGGUCAUUGCUGAGGCCGCCGGUGAGGCGCGUCUCCUCGAAAUCUGGCCGGAUCUGGUGGAAAACAUCUGGGCGACGCUAAGGUUUCCACAGUAAACUGCGCCUAUGUGUGAACUAGGUGGUUGGAGGAGCUGAUUUGUGACGUGAGGCCGGUUGUGUGGUGCCUACCGGACCAUUGGUCGCCGGCGCCAGUAGUGUGGGGGUGUGGUGGCUGGGUUAUUUUGGAUUGUGAGGGGAGCUCCAUUUCUCAGGUUUCAAACAGGCCUAAAGUGGAAUUUUUUAAAUGGUUUUCCUACCCCACCUGUAAUAAUGUUGUCAGUUAACGUCCUCUCUUUCAAUUUAAUUCCUGAAUUCCAUUUUGUUCUCACUGUGUAGUUGAUUGUGCCCUCUCUCUUUUCAAUAAUGUCAUUCUCUGGAUGAUCAUGUGCACUUGGAUUUGCACAAUUACUACUUAAUGGUAUGUAAAUAUAACAUCUUCGAUUGUAUGCCAAAAGCCUUGACAAAGUAACUGAGGACUACACAGUGUCCGUGUGCUAGUCAUGUAACCUGGUUGUUAACAAUAGCAAGGGAUGAUCGAUCAUUCAAGGAAGUCCUGACCCCAAACUGCGGUUACCCUGUAUGGGAUUUGACACAUGUCAAAUUAGGACCGUCUUUGAAUCCAACUCCAAAACCUGUUUACCUAUUGCCCUGGUCUGUUUUACAUACCUAUUAUUAAUUUACUGAUAAUCAUUACUUUUUUCUGUCAAACUAAAUUUUCCUACUUCAUCUUAAACAAUUGGCGUUUCAUAAUUUGAAUCUUGCUUCACUAGCACUAUUCAUUGAAGAUUUAUGAAACCCAAAGUAUAUCCCUUGAACCCUGAAGAAACUAUUUUCUAUAUAUGUUUAUUAGUUGAAGGCUAUUAAUUGUAUGUUAUUGGAUUGGGUUCAAAGUGAGAAAUUGAGCAUCUGCCUAUAGAAUAUGUGCUGCAUUGGUGAUGUUUAUCAAGAAGAAGAAACAAAAGAAAAUGUUCCAUCGGUUUGGAUCUAGAUCAUGAAGCUUGGAAAUGCUAGUUAUAUGAUUUACCAAAGGAAAAAGAGUAAUUUUUCUUGGGAAACCAAGUGAAACUGGAUUGAUUAACAUUUUAGAUAAGCUCAUAUGCUAAUACAUCCCUCUAUUUUGUAUUUUCUUCCUCUUCAUUAUAUGCUAUGAAAACUUGUGCAAGUUGCCGAGAUGAAUGAGGUAUAUCUAUGAUGUUACAUUUGUAACUUUGAGAGGUCCUGCCAUGAUUGAUUUGAUAAAUGAUUGUAAUGGUCCAAUAUUGCAAAGCAAAGUUUAUCUAAUUUUUAGUAACAGUAGAUAAAUAAUUGAAAUAGAUUGAAAUGAGGGUGCAUGCUUCUCACUGUAAAAGAUAAUGAGAAAUAUAAAAGAGAUGCAUAAACCUGGAGUAUGAAAAUUCUUCUCUUGCUGCAUUACUCAAUAGAUAAUCUGGUGAAAUGCUCUGGACUUUUUAGCUUCUGUGGUGAUUUAUUUUCCAAACUUGUUUGCUCCUCUUUCUUUCUUUCUUUUUUUUUUUUUUAAAUAAAAAAAUAAAUUCCAAACUUGUGAAUGCCUUCUGGUGAAAAAGAUGGGUAGAAUCUGAUAUAUGUCAUAAUGAUCACCUCUUCUAUUGUUGCAUUUGAUUUAACUUUUUAAGUUUUACGUUUUUGCAGUGUAUAUUUGACUUCUAUUUGUUCCUCCAUCUGCUUAGGUAUGACUUUGAUGUGUCUAGAUGAUGUUCUUUCAACACAUCGGAUGAUAAAUAGACUGAUCAUGUAUUCGAUUUCUGAGUUUGGUGCCUGUUGUUCAAGGGUCAAAUUGUUUAUACAUGUCCAGUUCUGGGGAAUUGUUCUUGCAGUAUCACGUUUGCUUCGACUUUCUGAGUAGCUAGAAUUGUUGAAGUUUCUUGGUUUUAAAAUAUAGGUGACUCGUGUAACUCCGCCUGUAUUUUGCAUGUUUGCUUAACGCAGCCGGUCCCAAGCCCGGAAAAGGAGGAGGGUGAGUCAAUAGAUGGAGUUGAAGGUUGUGGAAAACUGUUUUAAGAACCAUGUAGAUUGCAAAUAACUGAAGUGUACCAUGAUGGAUAACGAGCUCACCUCUAGACCUUUACUGUAGAGGCUUUUUGAAAUUGCUGGAAUUGAUUUGGUGUAUUAUCAAUCAUGUCAUGAGCUUCAAUGGAAGUUGCUUGUAGUAUGGAUUUUGUUUUUAUGAUGUUCUCAUGAAAAAAAUGGUACGAACACUUGUUAAUACGUAAGAAAGUUGAAUAAUAAAGAUCGAAAUCAUUUGAUAUUUUGAGCAUAUCCUCGAACAAGGCACCUGUUCGGCCCUCAUUAUUUCACGUUAAUGUAAGGGAGAGUAAUUUUUUGAAAAAUGUGUGGGUUAAAAAGAAAGAAUUUUUUUGGAUUUACAUUAAUAUUAUUUUAUUGGGGAAUACGUGGAUGAUAAAAAGAGAAAAAUGAAUUAUAAUUUAUUGGGGCCAAACGGGGCAAAUAAGCUUAGGAUAGAUAUGGGUGAACUGCUCUUAGUGCCUAGGAGUUUAUCCUUGGACAACUGCCGUGGUCAUCGAAAUUUAGGGUUUGAUUUGGUAUUAUUGUAGAUUGUAAAUUUAUAAGAGAAUUAUUUUUAAAUGUGAUGGAGGAGUAAUCAGUUGCAGGACAUGGUAAAUUUUUAUUUUAAAAUCACUGAUUGUUCAAAUUUCAAAAUCAUCGUCUGAAAGUUUGGUAAAAAAUUGCUUUACAUGUAAACAAUUAUUAAGAUGUACAUUGAUUAUAAUGAUCUCCUUA